Long non-coding RNA from Lolium rigidum, 528 nucleotides. RefSeq lists it as uncharacterized. The transcript has 3 exons. The record is from RefSeq and is a predicted model, not a curated record. NCBI's taxonomy places the organism in Eukaryota, Viridiplantae, Streptophyta, Magnoliopsida, Poales, Poaceae.
GUCGACCACCGCAGGUGCUUCUCGCGAUAUGAGCCGUGCCCCAACCCGCAAUUCCCAAUCCUCUUCUCCCCAAUUUUAAAAAAAAUCGCAUCUUCCUUGUGCGGGCAGCCGGAGGAGGGCUGCUGAUGGUCGUCGCCGUCGGCAGGAUGCACUGGUAGCACGAGGCAGUUGUUUCCCCUGCCCAUUGUCCUCAUCUGAGUCAGCGACAGGCCAUGGGACGAAGAUCUGAUGCACAUCCAUGAUAUCUCUUGCCGAUUCGACUAUCUUCAGGUGCUCCGGCUGCUGUGAAAAACGAUAUGCGGUCUCUGUAUAGAGAGCAGUGCCUUUGCCGCCUUCCUCACGGUCUCCCUUGAUGUCCUAGACGCGGUGAGAUAUCAAGUUCUCCCUGAAAUCUUAGACUGAACAAGUACUUUGCGCUAGUGGAUUUGUUUUGUUGAUCUUGAGCAUGAAUUGGUUCACUAGCGUACGAGCUUCCGUUUGUACUUUCAGAUUUAUUGCAUGGAUUUGUUCUAGGUUAAAUGCAAGAGU